Molecule: long non-coding RNA, 2410 nt
Filed under: Medicago truncatula (barrel medic)
Lineage: Eukaryota; Viridiplantae; Streptophyta; Magnoliopsida; Fabales; Fabaceae
Description: long non-coding RNA (MTRU_LNC004623)
Source: RNAcentral
GUAGUUAGUGUCAUGUGAAAUGAAGCAAAUCCAAGAAACUUGUGUACAUUGAUUGGCCACGUGAAGAAACUCUUGGAGGGUGUAUAAAGAAGUAGAUACAAGUGGGCUUGGUUUAUUGGUCAAUGAUAGUAAUAUUGUUGUGUUGACCCGAUAUCAAAAUAGGAGAGAACUAGGUCACUUGAGAUUAAAAUGGGAAGGAAAGAAAAACACGAAAAACAACAAGGAGCGGCACAUCACUAUUUUGGGCAGAGAGCAAUAUCACAUAUUUUUGGAGAGAUAGAGAGAUGGCAUUUCUAGAGAAACACAAAGUAAGGUGUUAUGAGUAGAUUUAACUCAAGAUUUGUUGAGACAUCAUGGAUCUCGGCAUUGAAUCUUUAUCUCUUCUUCAUCCUAUGCAAAGCUAUCAUAGACAUAUGUAGCUACAUCUACCCUUCUGGGUUUUGAGGUAUUCAAACAAGUUAUUAUGUAAACUCUUGAUCAUUUAAUAUAUGGUUCUAGCUAUUUAUUCAAUAUUGUUGUUAUUCUUGCAUUUAAUGUUUUAUUGAGAUUCAAAAUGAUAUAGACACAUACUUUUGAAUCUAGAAAUAGAAUAACAAUCUAUCUUAAGUUAUCACUCUAGACAUGGAUGUUAAUAUUUGAUAAUCACUUUUAAUCUAGGACUUAAUGCUUUUGGGUAAUUUAAUCGAUUGGGAAAUCGUCGAUUAAACUAUCCAAUCGACUUUGUGAUCGUUUAAAUGUUUGGGAAAUCGAUGUUUAAACGAUCCCUUAGAAAUAACGAUAUCAUUUGGACACAAAUGAUAUUGUCGAGUGAUUGUGAUAAUAUCGUUUAAAAUGCUAGAAUCCCGUUAUUUGAUCGUGAGAUUGCAGUUGUUACGCUUGGUUGAGUGUCUCUGACCCCAAGCGAAAUGGCCCUAUCUCUUAUCGAUUAAUUUUAUGUCAAAUAGUUUAUAUAGGUUUACACAAACACACAUUUUAAAUCCAUACACUUAGAACAACAUUGAUUGUUGAAUGACUUGAAUAUCGCGCUAGUCCCUGUGGAGACGAUAUACACAAAAAUACUUAUUUUUGAUUGAUAGAAAAAUAUUACAUCAGUAAUCAACAACUCUGUUCAACGAGUUAUUUACGAAACAGACUCUUUAGAAGUUUUCCGUCUUCUUCAAGACUCAGAUCACUCUCAUAUACUCCCUCCGUCCCUAUAUAUAAGACCCUUUUGCCAAAAUCACGGGAAUUAAGAUAGUGGAUAUUUGUAUUAAAGUUGUUUGUAAUCACUAUUGUUUUUACAAUUUUAUCCUUUAAGAAAGAAGGUUAGUUUAUGUUUUCAACAUGUUAUUUAUUGUUGAUUGAAGAAAAAGAUGUAUAAUAAAUAGGGGCAUGUAUGUAAAGAAAUAAUUAAUAUAGUUGGAAAUAACAAAGGGGUCUUAUAAAAAGGGACAAAAAAAAUUAUCAAAAGGGUCUUAUAAUUAGGGAUGGAGGGAGUACAUGUAUAUGUUUCUUUGUUGGUGAAGAUUUUUGGGUUAAAGGAGCAUAUUUCUAACGUUUUUUUCCAACACGUGCUUCGAGACUAGGUGUGACUUUUUGGCAAGCUCCCCCAUUGAAGUUGAAGUCAGUGUUGAGGCUUGAUGCCCAAGACUGAGCCCUAUUUUUAGGUUUUUUUUCUUCUUUUCUUUUGUUAUUCUACGGAAAAGAAAAAAAAACUCAAGAAAUACAAAGAACGAUAACUUCUCUAGAGUCGUAGAGGUAGACAACAUUAUCUGAGCUAUGUAAAAAAAUAUCGUGUCUUGUUGUCUUUUGAUUCUCGUUUCUUUUAUUCGUCUAUUGCUAGUUGUACUAACACAAAUCAUAUUUUUUUCCAUCUAUAAUAUUCAAACCUAAAAUAUUUCUUAAAGGAUUCUUACCUAUUUGUCUUUUAAAACAAGCGUUGUUGACAAAUUCAGUUUUACUCAUAAUAUUGAUUUUUUUUCUUUUUCUUUUUAGCAUAGUUGCUCCAUCAAACUUAAGAAUAGUUUUUUUUGUCUUCUUCAUUUUCUCUAACAAAGUGCUUCACAUUCCUAAUUGAAAUAAGCCAACUUGGUUGUGACAAAAAAAACAAACAGGGUAGGGUCAGUAUUUCCAUUUUGGAGAUAGGACAUAGGAGUUGUUUUCUUAGCCACCUCUCCAUCUUCCACUACUUAGUUUAUAUGAUUUUUUUUUUUAUGAUAAUUUUUGGGACAACAUUGUUUUUUUCUUUUUAUUGAUCAAAAACAAUUGAUAGAAAAAAAAAAAAAAAAAAAAGGACAAUGAAAGUAUAAAAGAGAGAAUUGUUUAAUAAUUGUCAUAAAAUAAUUGUAUAAAUAUUAUUACAACCAUCAUUUUUCCUGAUAUUAUUAACAGACAUUCAAUUAAUUUCUUGUCUUAGUCCGCAGCAAAGGAU